GACGAACGCUGGCGGCGUGCUUAACACAUGCAAGUCGAACGGGCCUGUCUUCUUUUUUGGGGGUGGGUUGAGUGGCGAACGGGUGAGUAUCACGUGAGUAACCUGCCCUUCGGUCCUGGAUAACCGCUUGAAAGGGCGGCUAAUACGGGGUGGUCCGGUUGGUCCGCAUGGGCUGGUCGGGAUAGAUUCACUGUUUUUGGUGUUUCGGCGGGGGAUGGGCUCGCGGCCUAUCAGCUUGUUGGUGGGGUGAUGGCCUACCAAGGCGGUGACGGGUAGCCGGCCUGGGAGGGUGGGCGGCCCAGCUGGGACUGAGAUACGGCCCAGACUCCUGCGGGAGGCAGCAGGGGGGGGUAUUGCACAAUGGGCGGAAGCCUGAUGCAGCGACGUCGCGUGAGGGAUGGAGGCCUUCGGGUUGUGAACCUCUGUUUCCGGUGGUGAAGGCCCUGUCCGUGUGGUGGGGUUGACGGUAGCCGGGGAUGAAGCGCCGGCUAACUACGUG
RNAcentral lists this ribosomal RNA (499 nucleotides) under uncultured bacterium. RNAcentral's name for it is "partial 16S ribosomal RNA". It matches the Rfam family "Bacterial small subunit ribosomal RNA", at positions 28 to 507 of the family's 1533-position model. The record is from RNAcentral.